AGAAUAAGCAAAAGCAACCCCAUUGUCAAAAUCUUUAGGUAAUGUCAUAUUUUCAUUUUUUUUCAUUUGGUAAGAUAUUGAAUUUUUAUGGAAGAGGUGGAUCAGUCACAGAAUGGUAGCACUGUGUCAUGUAUGAUAAGUGCACAAGGUGCUUACAGCGCAGAAACUGAUUUAACUGGUAGGUAAUACAUAUAAUAUAUGAUACCUGUAUCUAAAUAUAUAUAUUUUUUUAUUUUUGUAUUUUUGUAUUUUUUUUCCUGCCCAGGCAGAAAUGCGUUAAUCUAUUUUUUCCCCUAGUCUAGCAGAUUGUUAAUUGUACAUAACCUAUUUAUGGUUGAGACCUGUCUGGUGAUUGUGUUGAUAUAACAGACACAGGAACAAUAAGUUUGCAGAGCGAAUUUUACAACAGUUAAGUAAAUCCAAGUUAGAUGACAAAGUGUGGCUCUGUUUAUUACUGGGAAGUUACAAUGUGGCUAGGUAGAGAAGCUGUAUUCUUGUAGGUGUGGAGUCUAGUUGCAUUAUGGGACAUAUAUCAGCAAUAAUACCUGACAAAAUCAAUACAACACACUUUAUCAAAUGAUAACUACAUAGGAUAAGUUGAUGUUUUUGUUUUUUUUUACAUUGCAAUUUCUGAUUUAUUUUAUUAAUUCGAAUAACUUAGAAUGUUUACCAUGUUGUAAAACAUAAUUUCAAAUUGAUGUUUGCAGGCUACAAAUAUAGCACACACACACACACACACACACACACACACACACACACACACACACACACACACACACACACACACACACACACACACACACACACACACACACACACACACACACACACACACACACACACUCUGAUACACCAUGUAUGCUCAUUUUUAUAAACUGAAACCGGAAACUAUGUUUUGAGAAAUUUUGGAAAUGGAUAUUUUAGAGUUUUAUUGUAUUGUAUUUAUAAAAAGUUUGUACUCAUUCAUAGCGACACACUAUAAAAUACAGUAAGAAACUGGGCAUUUAAUCUAGUUGUGUGCCUUCACAAAUAAACACUUGCAACCAAACCGGUUUGCAUUCUGUCUGACUGGUCAAUACCACAUAGGUGUUGAUUGUUAAUUAAACAACAUCACUAAUAAAUACAUAUGCAAUUAAAUCUGUACAGUUUUGGUCUCAAGAUCGUUUGCAUAAUGUUUGUUCCUGAAACUCAGUAAUUGUUUGUUUUAAAAAAACAAAAAAAAAAUAGUGAAAUUAAAAAAACUCGAACCCAAAUUUACAAGAAGUUUAUAAAGUGUAUAUUUGUGACACAACAUAAACCGGUUUCAUAACAAAAAAAAGAGAACGUUUGAGAUUAACAUAUACUACAUAAUGCAUUCCCAAUCCAUUUGCUAAGUAUGCUGUUGCAUAAUUCUCUUUUGAAUGUGUUUGCUUUAAAGAACUGUUAAGUGUUGUGUAGCUUUAACAUGAAAUAGAUUUCCUAUAUAAGGUCAGCGCAAUAUUGUUUAUCAACACAGAAAUUGAAUAAUCUCUUGAAAGUGCGAAUGGAAUACGGAGAAAGUAUCAAAACAUCCAGAUGACAUUGCUAACUACUGUAUUUUAAUGCAAUAGUCUAUUAUGUAUAUUUUUUAAUAUUACAUUGAAUGCAAGAGUCUACGAUUUAUAUUUUUUAAUACAUUGAAUGGUAUUUUAUAUAACUGUAAAAAUGUAAAUAAUAUAUUACGCUUUACAUAAGAUAAUAUAAUGUUUUCCUUGUGAAUUAAACUCUGCAGCACGAUAUCCCUAGGUAUUCCAUAAAUACAUAAUUUAAAAAUAUAAUAUAUAUAUAAAAUAUAUGUAAAAAAUAAAAUAAACACAAACACGUUUUAUAUUUUCAUUAGAAAGACUAUUCCUAUCAAUCACAAACAGCAUUGAUGUCACUGCGGUUAAUUACGGCCAGUUGCAAUUUACUAAGAAACCCACUAAUAUCAAACAAUUAUAACAAAGGCAUGUUUUUGAAUUUUGCAUAAAGAUUGUUUUUUCAAUUUAAAGUUCCAAAUCAACAAAUCGGAUGCAUCCUGUUAUCUUAUGGAUAGUCAAGAGGAAAAAAUAAAUAAAUGCAAAAGCAUGCAAUAAUAUAGGACCCUACCUGUGCCCAAUAGGAAUAUUCUUCAGAGAUUUUUGUAAUGUUCAUUAGCUUUGGAAACUAGAAUUCCCCUUCUGAUCAGAAACAAUUGUAACGUGUGCAAGUGAUAUCUUCAGUUGAAGGCUGGCAGCCUGUGUCAGUCUGUGCAAGGUGUAACUGGAAUCUCUGCCUGAUCUCCUGUGUUCUUUGUCUGUGCAUUAAUGGAACACAGAAUCUAAAGUGUCUUUCCCCCCAAACAUUGUUCUUCUUGUGCCAUUCCCUUCAGCUGUUUGUUUGUAUUCUCUCGUCUUUUAUUGGUAAACGUUAAAAAAUGAAAUCAAUACAGCAACCUUUCCUCCCGCCCCCUCUUUCAGUCUGGUGCAUAUGGGCUACUUCUCAUGUAAAACAGAGGGUAGGGGAUGUCUGGAUAUGCCCCAGUCCUAUAGAACCCAUAGGGCGACAGCUGUAUGCGUCUGUCAAGGGACUUUCUUCCAUUCUGUGCAAGCCCCAGAUGACAUGUGUUGGUCAGGGAUGAAUAAGAGAUAGAAGAUGAACAUCUCGAGUCCUGCUCUUUUUUUUUUUUUUUUUUGGACUCUCUAAUGUGUUCUCAUUCUGUGAAGUAUCUGUCUAAUUUUUUUUUUUUUUGCACAAAUGCUAAGAUCCCAUCUGCAAUAUAAGAAAGUUAUUUAUUUAUUUGUUUGUUUGUUUGUUUGUUUGUGCUGGCUUUACUGUCACCUUUGUUUCCAUCACAUUCCCAAUAACAGAUCAGCAAAUCCCAGCCAGGGCCCUCUGUGAAUAGGCAAACGAUCUGUUAUAGAUCAGACUAGGUUAUUGGUUUUUAAACAACUCAUUUUAUUUAUAGCUUACACUGGCAGGGUGAAAUCCUAUGUAUUUUCUGCCAUGAUAUAUAUAUAUAUAUAUAUAUAAAAAAUACAAAUAUAAAAAAAAAAAAUUAAAAAAAGAAAAUAUUAAAAGCAUUACUUCAAACAUAGAUUUUAUACUUUAUAUUUUCAUGUAGUUUAUAGUGUAUACAGCAGAUGGAUUUUUUUUUAACCCUCUUGUCUACUCAUUCGAUGUAUUUCAAUGUUAUAUAUUUUAUGCUUGAUGCCCCCGGCUGGCAGUGUUUUAGCUGUUUGUUGAUCAGUGUGGCAGCUGGAGAUGUCGUAUCGUUGUCAGGACUCAUCUGCACCUGAGCAUAGCCCAGCAGAACCCCCAGUAUACACCAGUCCAACCUGGCCUCUCCAUUUAACAAAUGAUCAUAGGGAUGCCGUGUUUUUUCAUCAGCGAACUGGAAAGCAGCAAGUCAGUGAAUAGCAAAUCUUUCCUUUUGAUCCCAUAUUUUGGAAGGAGAGCUGAUUUAUUGUCAGGAUUUCCUGGCAAGGUAUUAACCAUUAUUUUGGCCGGGGAUGGAGAAAGUCGGUGGGUUGGCUUCCUUUCUGCCAGUCCACCCACUGAAGCAUGUCAUUGAACAUCACUGUUAAUGGCAAUUUACCUGAAUGGCUUUUCUUUUCAAACCUCACUUGCAAAAGACGACUGAUUAAACAAAUAAAAUCAAAGUAAAAUAAAAAUAAGAUUAAGGAAGCAAGAAGACUGAGCGGUGUAGGAGUUAUAACACAAGAUGGAAUCAUUUUGUUAAAUGCCAUAUUAAAAGAUUUUAUACCUAAUACGUACCAUUAAAAUCUAGCCCCCAUAUACCAUUAUAGACAAAACAAACAACCAGACAAGGCUAGAAUGCUGAAUAUUGGCUUUAUUACUGAAUGACAAAAUUCCCCAUCGUGUUGGACCAUAGACCACACAUGUAAAGGCUGGCUGAGCAUAGUAAUCAGUGAAGUUCACACAUGUAUAGAGUUCCAAGCUUGGCCUUAGUGAUGAUCUGUUGAAGGGCUUGGGUCUCCCCAUUGAACAGGGCGAUGUGCCUGCAUUGAGCUCUGCUAAAGGAACCCACUCCCAUUGCCUGCAGCCAAUCUGUGCUUACAUGACCACUAUGCUAUGGACCAGUCUCUCUCUGACUGUAUAUAUCCUCAUGUCAUGGUAGAAUAACACCAUACACCAAUACACUUCAGGCUACCAGCUUCUCAGCACAACCAGCAAUUCAGUUUGAUGGAACACAAAUAAUACACAUUGUAAUAUUAUGUGCUAGGAGUUUAUAUAUCUUUCAUCUUAAACUUUAGAAAGAAAGGAAGAAAAAAAAAAGAAUGAAUGAAAGAAUAAAGGGAAAAAAUAGAAACAAAAAUAUCUACAUUAUUUAUGAAUACAAUUAAAAUAACUUUGUUAUUCCUUUUUCCUUUUAAUUUUGAAUUUACACAUAAAUGACAUAGGGGGAAGUAGGGAGAAGAAUAAUUAAUAUUAUAUGUAACAGGGAGUGAGUUGAGGAAAGAGACAGAGUGAGGGAGAGAGAAAGAGGGAGAGAGAGGGAUUGACUUGAGAAUGAGGGAUUUAGGGACAGAGAGAAAGAAAGGAGGGAGAAAGGGGGAUGAGAUGAGAAAGAAAGAUUUAGUGAUGGGGCAGUUUCUGCAAUGAUUUGCAUCAAAGCACAAUUAAAAUGGUGAUUCCUAUAAUUGUAUGGAUGUAGAGUCAAUCACAUAAUUUCCAGAAAUCUACAUGUAUUUUUUUUUUUUUUAAUUAGAAUGGUUGUUAUUGCCAUUAUUGUGGGUUAAACCUGCAGGGUAAUGAGACACUGGGGUUUAUUUACUAAACAGUGCGUUCUGCUGAUCUCAAAAUGAACGCCAAUUGACCAUUUAGUCCAAAUUCUUUAAUUCUGCCAAUUUACACACUACACCCCCCGAUACCUCAUCUCAUGUCCUAGAUAGUGUUCAACCAUGAUUUGCUGGAUCCAUAUAGACUAGCUAGAUAGAUGAAGGACAUUGUAUCAUAGAAUUCCGUCUUAGAAUGUUUGCCCAUAUAUCGCAGCAUUAUUUUAUUGGAGGAAAUUAAGCAGACAUUGCCCCCUCCCCCGCCUGACACUGCUAGAUACCUGAGUCUUUUUCCAUGCAGAAUCGGUCAGAUCUAUGAACAGGGAGCUAGAGUUGAAAAGUUCAAGUUGAAAGUUUGCUCUAGUGCUCAACAGACAGAUUUUUCAUCAAUAUAAAUGACGUUAACCUCAGUGAUCCCACAUUGUCCACUUGCAACAUUUUAGUCUAUGAUCUGUAAGCAUGCAAGCCUCUAAAUGACACUUUGUAAUAAAGUGAGAAAUAUUAGUACCAACAAGGACACUUUGAUCAGCUGCCUGAGACUGCAUCACCUCCAGUAUCACCUCUGCGAGUCUACGUAUUAUAUUCAAAUACAGAGAGCAGGAACUGCAGGUGUCUGGGAACUACAUUUCCCGCAAUGCUUCACUCCUCAUUGAUAAAGUGCUUCUCUUAAAGCAAGGAAAAUAGUGAUUAAACAAAAAUAACAGUAGUUAGUUUUCCUUAGAUUGGUUGUAUAUCUCUGUUUAUAUGGACAAAGUGCAGGAUUUAAUAUAGAUACAUAUAUUUUAGUAACUAUUUUAGUAAUACACGGCAAUCACACAGUCAAAAAAGAAAACUUUGAAUUCUGAGAAUAUGUUAUUGCUUUGGAGAGCAACUGGAAUAUUUUAUAACUGGUACGAUAGAGAGAGAUAGUUAAAUAAAGAGAAUUAGAUAUAUAAAGAGAUAGACAGACAUAUAGAUAGAUAGAUAGAUACAUAUAGAUAAACAAAAAUAAAUAAAUAAAUACAUAGAUUGAUAGAUAAACAAUAGAUGGAUAAAUAAAUACAUUGAUAAAUAAUAGGUAGAUAAAUAGAUGGAUAUAUAUAUAUAUAUAUAUAUAUAUAUAUAUAUAUAUAUAUAUAUAUAUAGAAAGAUAGAUAGAUCGAUUGAUUAUUGGAUAAAUCGACAGAUAGAGAACAAUCAUUCCAUUUUACUUUCUUUCUAAAUAUCAGUACACAUCUAUCCGCAUUGAUUUCUACCUACUAAGAUCACUGCCAUACUUCGCCUAUUUGAGACAUAAAAACCAUACAAAAAAAACAUAACUAAGUGCAAAACACUUUAAUUUUAUUUUUCAUUUUAUUUAUUUUUUUGGCACCCUAUGAGAAUAUUUGGCAAAACGCUCCAUACUCUGUAAUAAGGCUGGCUGGUGAUUUCCUCAGUAAUUAGGCUUUGUCCAGUGAUUAUUUAUGUUUCCAUACAAUGAACACGUUUGUCAGUCCCUGGCGAUCUCUGUCCAGAUAAAGAGCAAAUAAAAAGAAAUCUCUCACUCUUUCCUUCCUCUCAACUUAAUCUCUGCUGCAAGUGCAUUCCAGCAGCUCUCCUGAUAACGAUUUCUAAUAAACAGCAAGUUAAACGAUGGCUGGAGCUUCCAGCCUUUACAUUGCAUGGCUUUUGUUUCUGGGAUCAGCCUGAAACCUACCGACCUACCUACCUUGGAGUUUUAAAUAUGAUUGGAGCUCAGAGAAUGAAUAGAGCAGACAGAUCACCCUCUCCAGCUCUCAUCUCUCCACUAAUGCAAGCUGGCAAUUCAAUUACUGGCAAAGGAAUAUUUUAACAGAGUCCCUCCACAAUUUCUACACAUACUGUAUUAACCCAUCCCAGACUGCCAUGCUGCUUAGAUAUAAUUUCUCUCUCUCACUUUCUCUCUCUUUAUUUCUUUUCUUUCUAUCUUUUUCUUCUCUCUAAUAUAUUCGUAUACAAUCAUACAACCACCCAUUUAUAUGUUUAAUUAAAGUUUACAUACAAUUGGUCAUUACAUAAUUUUUGAGUCCUAAUAAUAUUCACUAAAUUGAGAGUUGUGUGAAAAAAAAAACCACGGGUUAGAAAAUUGGAUUAUAUAAAGCUAUAAUAUUUACUAGUGCAAAAAAUUCUAAAAUAACAGAAUCUAUUUUGGAAACUAAGACUGUGCUCUGCACACAUUACAAAUCCAAGAACAAGUUAUCCCAUAUUCAGUGCUUGUUUGCAUUCUCCCAUAAGAAAAGCUCAGCAAAAUUUGUCCAGAGACUAAAUACUACACUGGAUUUCUUAAUGUUGUGUGGAACAGAAUAAUGUGUGUUGCUAUGUGUUAUUUCUGUACCACUGCAAAAUGAGCCAAACUGUGGGCCUGCUUCAAUAUUUAGGACACAAUAACUACAUUAAAAAAAAAACCAACAAAAAACAGUGCCCUCCAUCUCACUUGGUUAUUCACUACAGCGAGGAUUCAAUGUGAAUUUCAAAUUGAAGGUCAAAUAGCUGAUCUGGAAAAAUUAUCUGACUUAACUAUUCCUUCAGUUCAGCUACUCUGGCCUUAAAUUUAAAACCCACUUUCAAUUCACCUUGCAUUCUCACUUCAGUGAUUAACCCUGUCAGUUAACUUAGCUUCAAGUGGGAAUCUCACCACAAAUCUAUGUUUAGUGAAUAACCUCUCAAAUAUCAUCUAGGCUAAGUCCCCCACCCAAAAUAAUAAUAACAUUGAUAACCAUACAUUUUGGAGACAAAGUUGUUGUAUUUUGUCUCAGAUGUGCUUUCUAGAUUUAGUUAUAGCACAUCCAAAAAUUCCUACAUGGUACCUGAUUUGUGACUUGGAAUUAUUUUGGAAAGACUGUUGAUUAGUGAUGGUAAUUUCUAUAAUGAUCUGUGAGUCCCUCACCCUGAAAUUCGGGGACAGCUGACAUCUGUCCUGGAAAUAUAUUGACCUGAACUGAACCAAACAUUUUUAUGACUUUCAAACCAUAGCUGCAAAAAAUCCAAUGCUUCAUAUAGAUCUGCUCCUGUAGUCCUGUCAUUGAAACAGCUGUUUAUUUCACUUGGAAAACCAAUAAUUGCGCUGAAGAUACAAAUCAUUAUCUAUUUCCCCCAAUUAGUGAAACUCAGCGUUACUUAUCUAUUUGCAAAAGUUCAUUUUAAGAAGUCACAGAGUCAAUCUGGUCAAUGAAUUUGCUAUAUAAAAAAAAAACCCACAUACACAUAUAUCGCACACACACACACACACACAUGUACAUACAACUCAUGCACACUCCUACACACCCAUUUUGGCCUACAUCUUAAAGUCUAAGGUAACUGUAGCCCGCCAUUUAUUUAACAGACCCCUAGAGAUUAAAAAAAACCCAGAAUAUUAUUCAUUUAUAAAUUAGAACUAUACAAUUAAAACAGGUAUUUUGUGUCAGAGAGCAAAUUGUACUCAAACACUCAAAUUUUGUUCAAACACAGUCAAUGAGUAUAGCACAUGGAUAUCACAUUGUUCUUUCCAAGCAUUUUGUGUUUAUUUCUAUGCCAGUGAAAAUACACUAAGCAAAUUAAAACUUCAUCUCCGUAAAUGCAUUAUUUAAAUUUUUCUACUUGGCAAACAUGCUCUGGUUUAGUCUUGAUUAGCCUCGCCAAUAAACCUUUUUUUUUUAAAAAGCUGUAUUUCCCAUGGACUAUCAUGGGAAAUGUAGUUCGCUAGCAUCUGUAGAUGCAGUGUUAGUCAUGACUGCUAAUCUGCAGCAUUAUCUAUACAUUGCUUUGAGCUAUAGUGUGAAUGCGUGUGCAAUUUACAUGUGAUCAUUCCCUCACCACAGGAAACCUUUGCACAUUUUCACUUUAAGUGCAUCACGCUCUUUAAUAAAAAAAAAUAAAAUCUUUAUUGCUUUAUUUUUUUUUAUAACAAAACAAAUACAAAUACAUUUUAAACACAUAAGCAAGACAGAAAAAAAGACAAUGUUUUCUGAAGAACAAUAAUUAUAUUUAAAUCCUAAUAUAUAAAGUCAAGACAAGUGAAAAUAAAAAAAGGUAUCCAAAAGAUCGGUGCAAAAGGAUAAUUAUUAUUAUUAUUAUUAUGGCCGUUUAUAUAGCGCCAACAGAUUCCGUAGUGUAAUUCCUCUGUUUGAGUAUUAUCUAGAAUGUUGGUCUUGAAGACGUUUUAGUCAUUUUACAGCAUCAUUAAAGUGCAGCACACUCACAGUGAUAUCACGUAUACACAGUCCAUAUAGUGCACAUGUAUUUGUUGUUUUAUACUGAGAGUAACUAAGGUAAUCUCUGUUUACUUUGAACAUGCAAAGUGGGCAUGUGUUCACCUUAUUGACUUUCAGUCAGCACUGUAAAGCAAAUUAAAAAGUAAGAAAUCAAUAUGACCAUAAGCUAGAGAUAACUCUGCCUGGCUAUCGAGUGUCUUUAUGUUUGUUAAUGCUAGCAUUUUUAUAUAAAAUGUAUUGUGAACAUGUUAAUAACAUUAAAAAAAGAUAAAAAAAACUUAAGAGUUAAAAACACCUCAACUGAUGUAUUAUUAAAUAAUUAGAUAAUCAACAUAAUGUAACUAUAGGUUUUCUCUGCAUAAAAUACAAAACACUUCUAAGUUGUAGUGAAAAAAGUAAUCACUCAGAAAAAGUUGAAUUAAAUUUUUUUUUUCAGCUACAUCAAAUUAAAACACUGUCUGCUUUUAUAAAAAAUAAACUUAAAGGACAACUAUAGGCACCCAGACCACUUCAGCUUAAUGAAGUGGUCUGGGUUCCAGGUCCAGCUAGGGUUAACCCUUUUUUCUAUAAACAUAGCAGUUUCAGAGAAACUACUAUGUUUAUAAAUGGGUUAAUCCAGCCUCUAGUGGCUGUCUCUUGACAGCCGCUAGAGGCGCUUGCAUGCUUCUCACUGUGAUUUUCACCGUGCUUCUCACUGUGAGAAGAUGCCAGCUUCCAUAGGAAAGCAUUGUAAAUGCUUUCCUAUGAGACUGGCUGAAUGCGCGGGCGGCUCUUGCCGCACAUGCGCAUUCAGCCGAAGACAAGGAGAGGAGGUGGAGAGGAGGAGGAGAGCUCCCUGCCCGGCGCUGGAGAAAGAGGUAAGUUUAACCCCUUCCUCGCCAUCCAGCCCGGCGGGAGGGGGUCCCUGAGGGUGGAGGCACCCUCAGGGCACUAUAGUGCCAGGAAAAGAGUAUGUUUUCCUGGCACUAUAGUGGUCCUUUAAUUAAAAAACAGUCUAAUUAUACACAUUUAACAAGUCCAAGUUAAAAUCUAGUGUUAGAAAUGUUGAAAAUAGUAUGGUGUCUAAGUAAAAGGAGAAUUGUCAGGAAUUUGAAGAGAAUUCAAAGUGAAUUUGAAAUUUCAGGUCAGAGUAUCUAAAUAUAGCAUAUCUGAUUUGGAGAUGUUUUCAGUUUGAUUAUUUUGGCCUUAACUUUGAAAUUUACUUAGAAUUAUAUUGAAUUCCCAACAAUUCUCACUUAGUAAAUUACCCUGUGAUCGUUAUUGCAGUGCUUGGUAUACUGAUAUAAUAAAUCUCCAAUCACCCAGAAUACUGCAGUGAACCCCAUGUUGUAGUUUUACUGGGGAUCUAGCCAUGUGCUCAUGAAUCAUAAACAUCAAGUUACCCUAAAUCACCAGAAUGAAUCCCCAGUAUUUCUAUUUCCAAAUGUUUAAUAUGAAGACCCUUUUCUGCGUAGGAUUGCAAGUGGCCCUGUGAAUUGGGUAAGCCAACAAAUGGCAACAUUUUUGAAUGAGAACUCUGUCAUUGACAUUCUUAAAUACUUUAACUAAAUUCCAUGGUAAACUGCAAACUGCUGCCGAAAUAUAUUCAUUUUUGGAGUAAAUAAUCAGGUUGUGUAAAAAGUAUAUAUUUACUUAUAUGGUUAAAUAUAGAUAACUCUUUGAAUGCCAGUAGUAUGCAUGCUAGUAUCAGCAACAACAGACUCCAUUUACACUUUAAAGGGAAAUAAAUGGGUAAAAAUUACCACAUAUUUUUGAUACAAUAAAAUAAAGCACACACAAAAUGCAUAAAAAGUUAAUCACCUUUAACUCUCAAUUUUUUUCUACUGAACAUUGUUUAAUGGUUUUGCAUGUAUCUGCAGAUAAAACGAUCAUACACUAGGAAGAGGCAAUUGUCAAAAAAACCUCUGCAUUUUGUUGCAGUUAGACUUAUCACAUAGGAUGAGAGGUACUGCUCUGGCUGCUAUCAGUUUAUGCAUAGCCCGGUUUACUAUUUUGUGAACUUUGCUAUAUUAACCUGUUGGCAGAGUUAUAGUCCACACAUGCACAGUACACUGUUCAGUUCUGUCUCUUGGCAGGGGAGAGUUCAGCUUAAGUUGUAAAUAUAAUGUGCAAACAAGGAAUGCAAAAUGUGCAUCAAAUUGACAUAGCCAAAGUUUCAGCUGCUGAUUGACAGGAGCUAGAAGGAGGAGCAAUGUCCAGGGGAAAAUCCUUAGAAUUGGCAGUGUUUCAUGCUAAAACAGUGCACACACAGAGUCCGUGCACCAUAAGGUGCUUAGAAUAACCAUUUAAAGACAAGGCAAAUGGGGCUCUUGCCUUUAAAUGUACGGUAAUGUUUCAUAGCAUGCUGAUCAAUUAUAAACCAUAUAGUAUAUUUCUUAAAAUUAUUGUUUAUCUGGGUCCCAGUUAACAGGGGCCGACCGAGCACUAGGGCAAAUUGGUCAUGGUCAUGGUCAAAUUGGUCAUGGACCAAGGCUCUGGGGGGGGGCUUUGGGGGGGCCCGCCCCUGCUGCAGUGCAGUAAUGGCUGAGCUGAGGAGUUAAAUAAUCUCCCCAGAGAGCCAGCACUCAGUAAGUGGCCCGCACAGCCUUCCGCGGGCCCCUACUGCUACAAACCUUCUCCCCUUUCUACACUGAGGGACAGCUAAAGGGCCUUCCCAAACGACCCCACUAGGUUGCCCCUCAGUGUGCCUGUCUCAGUGAACACAGCCUUACUGAGCUGCCUGUAACACUGCUCAGGGCAGCUCCGUGUGGCUUGUUCUGCAGGAAGUGACAUCAUCAGUCACAGUGCAGAGUGAGCUGUGCAAAGCUACCAUGAGCAUAGUUAAAGGCAGCAUGGGCGAUGAGAGACCUCCAGAAGAGGAUUUGUGGACUACCAGGGAGGUAAGACUUGGGGAGGUGGGAUUUAUUUUUUUAAAUCUUUUUUUUUAUUUAAAAUAUUUUAAUUUUAUAAUCUCCCCCACUACUGCCCCAUCACAGUCCUUGUACACCCAAAGUCCCUAUACCUUUACACUAACUACAACUCCUACCAACCCAAGGCAGCCCAUACAUCCUCUGCAGUACCUACCCCCACACCCUCUGCAGCCCCUACACCCCUGCUCCCUCAGCAGCCCCUAUCCCCUGCUCUCCCCUGCAGACCCUACCUCCUGCAGCCCCUACCCCUGCUAUUCCCAGCAUGCCCCCCUGCUCUUCCCCGGAAGCCCUUACCCCCUGCUCUCCCCAGCAUUCCCCUACCCCCUGCUCUCCCCUGAAGCCUCUACAUCCUGCUCUACCCAGCAUGCCUCUACCCCCUGCUCUCCCCAGCAUGCCAUUGCAGCUUCUACACCGUUGCAGCUCCUACCCCUUGCUCCCUCUGCAGUCCCUACCCCCCUGCUCCCUCUGCAGUCCCAGCCCCCCUGCUCCCUCUGGAGCCCCUCACCCUUCACCCUCUAUAGCCUCUACCCCCUGCACCCACUUCAGCUCCUUCCCCCCUGCACCCUCUACAGCCCCGGCGCCCACUAUAGCCCCUGCCCCCAGGCACCCACUACAGCCGCUAUCCCCAGGUACCCUCUACAGCCCCUAUCCCUUAUGCACCCACUACAGCUGCUAUUUCCCUCUGCACCCACUACAGCCUGUCUCCUCUGCACCCACUACAGACUCUAUUCCCCUCAGCACUACUGACAACCCCUACCCCCUAUCACCCUCUACAGUCCCUCCCACCUGCACCCUCUGCAACUCCUACCCCUCCUCCCUCUGCAGCCUGUACCCCCUUGCUACCUUUGCAGCCCUUAACCCCUGCAGCCCCUACCCCCUACAGUUCCUACCACUUGCAGCCCCUACCCCCUUGCUCCCUCUGUAAUCCCUACUACUUUGCCCCCUCUGCAGCCCCUAUCCCCUUGCUCCCCCUGCAGUCCCCACCCCCGCUCUCUCUGCAGUCCCUACCCCCCUGCACCCUCUAAAACCCCUCUAAAGCACCCACUAUACAGCCUGUCCCUCUGCACCCCCUUCCCCCUGCACUCUCUACUGCACCUUCUUCCUGGCACCCUCUGCAGUCUCUACCCCUUUGCACACACAAGCAUAAAGGGACACUAUAGUUAUGAGAAUAACUACAACUUAAUGUUGUUCUGGUGAGCAUAGCCUGCCCCUGCAGGGUUUCUUGAUGUAAAUACUGCCUUUUCAGAGAAAAGGCAGUGUUUACAUUGCUGCCUAGGAACACUUAGGUGCUUACUGUGUCAGUGUUGCAAAAUGUGCAGCACGGACAUUCAGCAUCUCCACCACGCUCUGCAUGGAGACUCUGAACGCUUGUCAUAGUGAAGCACUGAUUCAAUGCAUCUCUAUGAGGAAAUGAUGAUUGCCACUGUGUGCACAAUCACCUUCCAGUGCUUUCCUGUGGUAAAGCAUUCAAUUGGCUGAUUUAAUCUAAAGUGAUGAACUCCGCCAAGGAGGCAGGCAGGGGAGGUGAAGUUUGGUCAGCGCUGAAAAAAUGGUGAGUAAAUAACCUUUUUAAUGGGGGUCUAUAAACCUAUAGUGUCUGGAUCCCAUUGUACAGCUCUACGGAAUUGUCUGGCACUAAAUAAACAAUAAAAUAAUAAUAAUAAUACACGUUUGCAUUCCUGACACUAUAGUGUUCCUUUAAGGUGGCUCGUAACAUUUAAUACUUGGUUUGUAAUUUCAGACACAAAAUUUGGAGGCCUGCAUACCUCAUACAAACACAUUACCAAAAUUCACAAAUACCCCCUUAUACAUAUUGCCAUGCUACACAAACACACAUAAAAUUAAUACAACCCUUUUUACAAAACCAAAAACAUGCAUUCAGAUAUUCUCUGAAUCCACACAUCCUGACACUACAUACAGAGACAUACAUAUAUACACUUACAGCAGGGCUCACAGUGAAUAUACACACAGAAACAUACAUUCCCUUUACAUGUACAUACAAACAAAUACACGGUACAUCUACACCAGCAUAUAUAUUGGUCUGCUGUGGGCCCAGGUGCUAAUUUUGCCUGGGGGCCCAGGCCACUGUCAGUCCAUCCCUGCCAGUUAAUCAAUGUUAUCAGUGUCCUAAAGUCGGAACUGUAUAUAUUCAGUGAAGUUUAGUUUGCAGAAAUUGUAGAUUACUUGGUCAAAUACAAAUGUAAAAUUCACAAAUCGGUAUCAUGCCUUUUUAUUUCCUUUCUGUAAGCAGAGUGCAUUAUAAAGACAGCUGCCAAAUUAUUUUAGUUCUGUUUUCUGGUCAUUGUAUCGAGUUUUAAGUUUAUACUGAUGAUUAUCCAAAUUCAACAAUCGGAAGAUUAUCAACUUGCAUUAUACAUUUGUAAUAUAUAUAUUUUUUCCUGCAUUUUUCUCAAUGUCCAUUUACAUGCUUCCUCAUUAAAGUGGGCCUUUUGAACAGUAAAAGGAAUAACAGAUAUGUCAAAAAAUGUUUGCUUAUGCCUUUGCUUAUGCGAUAACAUUUCAUAUAAAUUAUUCAUAUUAAAGAAUUAAAGAAUUAGGGUCAAAUAUGGAACGUUCCAUUUUCAAAUUGAAAUUUGCCAAAUUAGUAAUGUUACCUUUGAGACGGUGUGGUAGCCCAGGAAUGAGAAUUACUCCCAUAAUGGCAUACCAUUUGAAAAAGUAAACAACCCAAGGUAUUGAAAGUGGGGUAAGUUUAGUCUUUUUUAGUAGCCAUUUAGUCACAAAAGAACUACCAGAAGUCCAUAUAUAGAUCACAUCCAUCGGAACAAGUUACAACACAUGUGAAGAAGAGAAGGGAUUGUCUGACAGCCGAAAGAGGGACAUUUAAAAGAAAAAGCUCCGGUUUCUACAUAUUGCAGCACUUUAUUUAUGCACUAACCAGCACUUUCUAUACUCCUGAAAAAGUCUAUAUGUAUUAGACGAAACGCGUAGAGUGAGUUUCUGAUUUUGAUUUAUAUAUUUUUUUGUGUUGCUGUUCUGUUCAGCCUACGAUAUUUGUGAGGUUUCCAGUUACCCAUAUCGCUGAGAUUUGGACUGGAGACUACAUUUGAUGGGCUUUUUAUCUACUUCCAUUUUGUAAGUGUGACAAUUAAAGCGUUUAUUUUUUUAUCUUAUAUCAGUGUUGCACUAUGGUCCUUUUAAUUUAUUUUCACAUGAAUCCUUGGAUUUGUGAACAUUAUUGAAUCUGGUGGAAUCUACAUAUGACUGAUGAGCCUGAAUUUUCUGCUACUCUGUGAGUGCAACCUUAAAUGCCGGGGGUUCCUCAAUAUAACGUUAUUACCCUAUGAGUUCUUUUUCCAUUCUAUGUUUUUAGCUAUAUUUUUCUUGUUAUUUAUAUAUGAGGAUUUAGAGGAAUCCUUCUGUUAUACUGUACAUCUAAAAAUGGGUAAUCACCUUUUUUAUUGCUUUUACAUUCACUGCACUUGGGUGGCCUAUACCUUUGUUUUAUUCCAAUUUAGCCAAAUAUACAUAUACACCUGAGUUCAGAAAACCAACAGGUAGUCUCUUCACUACCUGUACAGAACCAAGUAAGAAUAUAGAGAUUAACUGUCGAUUUUGUGAUCAUGUGAAAACCUUAUACAAAAAUAUUAAAUAGAGGCCAUUGUGUGUUAUAAGCCUAAUGAUGGAGCAUUUUUUUCAACAUGUUUAUUCAAAGUUUGAAGAUUUACUAGCCUCCCCAUAUUGUUUUCAGCUAGAGCUCCUGAGUGCGACAAUACCCUAUAUGUAUACAAGAGCUAUAGAUUUGAAGUUAUAUGGCCAAAUAAGAUAUAUCCCCAUUUCAAUUUUCAAAUGUAUAAAUUUGACUGAUAGAUUUGCAAGGCAUGGGUCUCAUUUUGUGGUGUAUUUUAGUACUUCACAAACUCAAAUUACCUGAUGCAAAAGUACAAACCAUGUGGUAUGCCAUAUGGUAUAUUUUAACCUUGCACAGGUAUUUUUGUCACAAGUUUCUUUCUAUGUUUGUGGUAUUAUUUUAUUUUUGCAUUCUUUUACAUGCACAUUGCAAGUUAGUGGUUAAUUUUUGGAAAUGUGACAUUUGCUAUUUUAAUAAAAAGCACUAUAUUGUGAACAACUAUAUCUCCUAAGUACAAAUCCUACUUGCUCCUUUGUCAAGUCUUUUUGAAAAUACAGGGCUGAAUUAAUAACAUGCCUCCUUUACCUUUUUUAAGUUAAGGUCUGUGUAUGUUGCAUUUUGGGAUGUUUUAUAUAGUUACAGUAUAUAUUUAUGUAGUAUAUAAUUUUAGCAAUGUUCACAUUUAAAUUGCUGAAUCAAUGCAUACUAUAUGCAAAUGUGGACACCAUAGGGGCUCUCACAUUAUAUCUAUUGAGUUUAACUGAGGUGCACUUUUUCUUUUACCAUUUUCUUCCAAAUUUGUGGUAUUACUUUUCAUUUAAUAUCUAUGCGCACGUUGUAUUUUUCUGGGUAUUUUAAAAAAAAAUCUUUAUUUUUGCAUGCAAAAUAUUACAUCACAGUAAACAUAAGACAUAAAGUUGUAUGAGAGUGAAAUUGAACAUUCUUGUCUUGAAUCUACACAGAGUUUUAUAUUUAUUUACAGCGUACAUUUUGGUUUGAGUAAAAGCUAGCCUACAGAAGAAGGUGCACAAGCCAUGGCAAACGUCUGAGGCAAUAAAAACAAACAAACAAACAAAAACAAAAACAAUAAAAUCUGGGAAUGGGAAUGCAUUGAGGGGAACCCAAGUCUAAAUAGGCAGGACUGUAUGCCAAGAAACACAGAUUCACAGUGGAGACCUGUAGUCUUUAAAAGGAAAUACAGUCUACAAGGUAAACUAUAUCUGUGCUCCAUAGGUAUAAAACCAGUAAAGCAUCCGUUGGGCUAGAAGAAUAUUACUGCUGGUCACUAAAACUGCCUUUGCCCAUGUCUAUUACCAAGUCUCAUUUGACUAUUAAGGCACAAAACCUAGGCCAUGUCUAGUUUCUAAAAAGAUGCCUGAAUGAAAACUACCCAUUGCAUUUAUUCAAAUGCCUCAGAAUGGAGUGGGAGCUCAUGUUGCUGGGAUCCCAUGAGAUCUGUAUAAGAUAUAGUAAGGAGUUAAUGUAAAUACCAGAAUGCCUACUGCAGGAGAGCUUACAUAAAGCGUUAAUCACCAAUGAGCAUCUUUAGGCUGCAUAUUGUAAAGCGCUACGGAAUCUGUUGGCGCUAUAUAAAUGGCAAUAAUAAUAAUAAUAAUAAUAAUGUCUGUUGUUAAUAAUUAAAGCACACUUAAGUCCAGCUUGAGUAUAAGAGGUUCCCUAACACCAGAACAAAAGCAUAAAACAAUUAAAAACCAAUGAAAAUGCAGCAUUUGAAAACAAAAUCAACAAUAAAAAGACACAUUUAAUGUGGAUCUUGUUCAGAAGGGCAAUUCCAGUGAUCGCUUCAACCUGGGGCUGUAGAUCCAACAGGUGUGAAAUCAGCAACAUUAUCCACAUCCCACUGGUGAGUAGGUCUGCUCAACCUAGAAGUGGUAGAUGUAGCCAGUCCCAAAGAUUGUAGAAAACUGUCCAUGUUGGAUACUGAGGUUAGCUUAAUAGUUGGUCAUUUCAGGGAUACCUCGAAUUUUCAGAUUGCGUUGCCGUGCAAUAUCUUCUAGCUGCCUCAUCCUAGUACUCAGCACUGCACAUUCGACACCUCCUGUAGUUGAACUGCUUUCAAAUCCUGCUUGAUUCCAAGGCUGUGAAUAUCUUCCUCCUGGCUUUUUUUUCUGCCGGCCAAUGUGCUCAUAUCUUCCUUCCUCAGACCACCAAUUCUGAGACAAAGAAGGCCUUCAUAUCUGUCACCAUUGUGAUGCUAUCUGUUAUUUUGGCCUAUUUUGGGUUGGGUUUGCCGCUGGGAAAAAAGCUCUAAAACUGCGGAAUUGUGGCUGAAUCUACAUUGGCUCCAGGUCCUCCUCAUCUGAGGCCAAUGCAGAGCCAUCAGCAGGGCUGGAAUAACAUAGGGGCUGAUGGAGUUGCAACUCCAGGCACAUGCCCAUGGAAAAGGCCCAUUCAUUUAAAAAUAAAUAAAUAUAUAUAUAUAUAUAUAUAUAUAUAUAUUUUUUUUUUUUACUACUCUUCACAUGCUCUUGUUUAAGUAUGGAAACUUAAGAGGGAUUCAGGGGAACAAAACUUGUGUGGACUGGCUGACAAUAAAAUUAAUUAAGGUAUAGUUGACACAUUGUGCAAAUGCUCUUCAGUCUCUUUAACACGGUGGCAUGUUCCUUUUGGUUUACACUCACUACAUACACAUUUUCUCUGUCCAAAGCUAUAUACCGGGAGCUUCUGCCUGCAAGUAAUAAGAUAAGAAGAGAAGUGGACAAGUGAGUGAUAGCGGACAGUCCUCAGAAAGCGUGGAUCAAGCGCAUCAUUAGAUGCAUUUAUGCCAGGCUCAGGGUGCCAUCUGCAUAUAAUGCUCUUAGUUGGCUAGCCUGCAAGAUUGGCAGGAUGCCUGAAUGCAUUUAUGCCAGGCUGACCUUCUAAUUCUUCGUGGAGCCCCGCUCUAUUUUUGGGCAUGUUCGUUGCUGAAAUCCUGCUUCACCGGACACUGUUUUUAGGAGAUAUGGAUUUACUUGAAAGAUGAAAGCGAGAGGUUAGCAUUGGGAAUGUGUUUUCUUAUAGCUAUAUCCUGUGGGUUUUCUUCCAGCACCACCUCCACCAGAUACAGGGCACUUGGAAAGUAUGCCUAUUUUAGUGUUUUCUAUUGAUAAGAUGCUGUAAUUAGGCCCAAUGAGCUCUUAACCUGGUCCUGGCUAUCAGGUGAGUCUGGCGUCAGGUCUGCCAUUUAGGCCUGAAUGACUGGGAGAGCAAGAGGCCAAUAUCUUGGGUAUGGCCUCCAUUUGGUCUCCUAGAUUAUGGGCAAUGUUUACCUAUGGUCCCCAAUACAGGUAGCACCUCAGUGGAGCAAACUUUGUUGUCCAAGUGAGAUAAUUUUAAAUCUCAUGUGUGCUACUGCAGUAAAAUUUGCUAUACUAUACUCGGCUACAUCUCCUGAGUACAAUACCCUCCAUUUAUACCUUUGCCAAGUUUAUACAAAGAUACCAGGCCAAAUUAGUUAACGUUUUUUCUUUUUUUUUAAAGAGAAAAGUGAAUAUUUGUUGCCAACCCUGACACCAAUCCAAAUGCAAAUGUCAACCAUAACCCUAAUAUUACUUAUAAUGCUAACUCUUACCAUACCACCAACCCUAACCCUUAAACACUAACCUUAACUCUAAACACCAUAUUUUGUGCAAUGGGAUGCAUAAGACUGAAUUAUGCUUUCAUGGGACUUUGACGGUAAGAUAACCACAAUUAAAUAACUCUGUCAUGUGUCCUUAAGGAGUUAAAAUGGGAUGCAUAAAAAUAAAUAAUUUAUAUAAAAUUGUAAAGAGAAGUUAUUAAGCCUUUCUAUUAUAUCACAAUGGAAGUAAUUUUCAUGCAUUUAUGCCAUGUUAAAUGUAAGACUUUUUGUAGCAGUUUGACAAAAAAUAGAGGCAAUUAUACACUGAGAAUACUAGAGGUUUGUUAGCCCAGAUUGCCUGACAAACUUCAAUAGGGUAAUGCGGACAUUCACUGUAGCAUUAGUCGGGUGGCAGAUGAGUGACUGGGUUGUCAGUCAAAAUUGUUUAAAAUUAAUAAAUGAUCCUUUAAAAAAACUACUAGGUAACUGAUAAUUAAUUAUUCAGCAUUCAUUGUCUCUGACAAAUAUUAGUUCAAUUCAGAAACAUUAGUGUAAAUGUGUGACACAACAGUGACACUAAAAUAUAAAUAAAAAAGUGUAAAUACCCUGUUCAUUGCUAUUUGAAGGAAUCAGCUAGGUAAUUUAGAGCAUUCAGAUUCCCAAAUUACCAGUAGAAUAAAAAAUAACAUGUACAGUAAAUACUGAUGACUUGGAAAAAAAACUUUGCUUCAAUGCCUCUCAUACCUAAUCAUCCCAUCCCUGACUGCUAUUUAUCUAGUUAGAAAGAUCAAUUAGUUACCUUUUUGUAUUUCCUCUGACUUACCAGCAUGGGGGUGUUUGGGAAACUGGGAUUUUAUUUAACUGUUCCUUGUAGGUGUGUAUAUAUUGCAUAUGUGCUCCAUAUAAGGCAUCUUCAGGCCCAAGAGGUGUUUAUAAAGGUUCUGCAAUUCUAAUCUUAAAUUAAUUUCUUUAAAUUAGCUCAAGAUGGGGAAAGGAAUGGCCACACCCAUGGCACAGUAGAUAUUAGAACCUUUUCAUGGUAAUUGGGAAAAUAAUUUAACCAAACUUCACUCGGGUCACUACAGUUAAUUAUGGAGAAAGUAUGCAUUUGUAACAUAACAUCAGCAAUAAGCAAGAAUAUGAAUUGCUAGUAUAUUUGAUGGAAAAAGCCAUGUUCCCCAAACAUUUAUAGUGAUCAUAAGUUUGUUUUGCUCAGCUUAUGUGAUAACAUGCCAUUUCCUAUCAAAAUGUAGCCAUAACUUUUAUUUCCCAUAACCCUGUACUAAAUCAAUUUCUUGUCAAUAAGACCCAAAGAUAAAAUACUGGGAUUGUUGGUAAUUGCACUGUGAUAUAGGCUGAAAAAAGACACAGGUCCAUCAAGUAACAUUUGUUACUGUUUUUGAUUCAAAAGAAGUGAAAAACUCAAUUUAAAAUUAAUUUCAAUUGUACCACAACAUAGGCAAACAUUUUUACUGACAUUAAAAUCACAGUCAGAUUUAUCUCUCCACAUAUUCAAUAAUAUAUAUUUGUUUAAUUUUUCCAAAUAAUAUCCAGAUGUUGUUUAAUAUAUACACAGAAUCUGCUUAAAAAAUCCCAAAAAACUCUUUAAUCAGAGAAUUCCACACCUUGUUGUCAAGAACACUUUUCUUUGCCGUAGGCAAAAUCUCUUUUUUUCAACUCUAAAUGGAUGACCUUUUGGUUUAAACGAAAGUCCUUCUAAUAAUCAGGUUACCAGACAGCUGUAUAUAUUGGUCCUGUAUGCAUGUACAUAUUGAUAUCAUAUCCAAGUUCAACUAUUUGUUGUAGAUCAAAUCAAAGGUUUGAUUAUUUGAAAAUCUGCCCCUGUCCAAAUUAUUAAGUAUAUGCGUGCACGCUCCUGAAGUAAUUCACACCAGACACAAGUUUCAGGUUAAUGAAGAACUUGAGGAAUGUUUAAUCGGGGGGCCAGCAUGCCCCUUAUAUGUGUGUCACUAUGUAUGUCUGUGGAUCUGUUUCAGUAUGUAUGCCUUUAUGUGUAUAUGUCUGUUUCAGUAUGUUUGUCUGUUGGUGUGUAUGAGUGUGUGUCAGUAUGUGUUUAUCUUUGUGUGUGUAUAUGUGUCCUUUUUGUAUCAGUGAGUGUGGAGUUGGGCCCUGGGGCGAGAUUUGAGCUUGGGCUUGGAGGCGGGCACCCGGGUGCCCAGAUCUUGAGCUGUGUUAGGGGUCCCAAAAUUUCUGAUGGUGGCCCUGUGUAAGACCAUAACAACAGGUUUCCAAUUUCCAUAACCUAUGUUGUUAGGAUGUUUAGUUUUGUCCUUUUUUAAAACAUUGCAUCAAAAAGGUGGGGGAGGGGGAGAAAAUGGGUGGAAAUUUUGAUAUCCACCUGCUUGAAACAUCAUUAAUCAACACAAGGCUGUUUAUUGCAGGUGUGAAAAGAGGGUUAUCAGGUUAUUUGGAGGUCUUGAAGACCUUUAUUUUAUUUUAUUUUUUAACUGCUUAACUUGAUCUGUUAAAAAUUUUAACUGUUAUAUUGAUCUUUCUAAUCAAUUUACUUUAAAAAACCUUGAGGAACAUUUCGAGAGACUGGUCAUUUUUGAAUUCUGCAUUAUAGAUGGGGAAGUAUUUUGAAAAUUGAAUUUUCAUAGAAUGUUGAAAGUUAUGGAAUGUAGGAGAAAGUCUGACAGAGUUAGAAGAUUAAUUUCAGAGGAUAAGUGCAAUCUUGGAGAUGGUAGUAGAAUGAUGUCAUGAUAGCAGAAGUGAGGAGCAAUUCCUAGGAAGAACAAGGAAGGUGAGUGACGAACAGUGAUACUUAGAGCUCUGUCGGCACGGUUAAGAUUGCUAUUCCACAUACUCAAAAUAAUUUUUUAUGACCAUUUUUCAUAAUGUGUCACUAGUAAAUUCCACAGAAUCAUAGAAUGAGCAACAAGACAUAUGAAAUAUUACUAGAAAUAUGAAUUAACAAAAAUACAUGUUGUUAUAAAAUUGACUGGAUUUGAGGAUUCUCAAUUUUGCGGCUACCAGUAAUGCCUAAACUGACAAGCAUUUUUUUUACAAACACCCAAAAUUUACUUGGCUUAUCAUAUUUAACAUGCAUUUAUGUAAAUGGCCCAUUUUUUCCCCAUAGAAGAUGACAACAACAUCAAAAACAUUAUAAUGGAGAAAUCUUAGUACGUUAUGCUAUAAGAUAAUUUACACAUACACAUCAUAUCAGGGUGGAAAUUCUCCGACCGGCCUCCAAAAAUAGAGAAUGGAAAUUACGCACUUAAAUGUUAACAUAAAAAAUGGCUCUGAACAUCGAUAAUACAUAUGCAAAUCAGUAAUUGCAUUUCAAAGCAAAUGAACUGGAACUGUAUUUUUAAACAAGUUGGUGACUAGAGCACAAAGAAUUUGUACAACGGAGCUUCUACUCUGGACACAGAAAACAAAAAAAGAAAACUUAAAGGACAAAUAAAAGGCAAAUAAAUAAAUAAAUAAAUAUAUAUAUAAACAAGGUAAGAAAAGGAAGGAUAUAUAAUAAGAGAGGGUAAAAAAAAGCCCCCAUGGGAGUAAGCCAAUUCCCCCUAAUCCAUCUUCAUUCUCUCCCUAUGUGCAAAGGCAACUCCAGAAUAAGGGAAAGCCACUAUCAAAGGCAGGGCUUUAUUUUAUAUCCUAUAGAUCAGGAGGGAGGCAAAGCUUUAUUUUCACCAAGAGACAUAUAUUUUAUUUCUCUCUUACGGUUUUAUGUGUGAGAGAUGUCAAAAAGGUAAAAUAGAUUGCUAAUGCAUAAGCAAAAGGAAGCUGUUUUGGCAUGCUUUGUGUCAUGAAGUGUUGCAAGGGGAAGAGAUCUGAGAUUUAAAGCUGAUGAGAGACCCCUGGGAGGCUCUUCUAAAACAUCUUUCUUCAUAAAUUCAAAAACAUGGUCAACUCAGCAGGGGAAAAAAGAGCUUUACUUAAAAUAGUUGGUCCUGCAAAUAAAUUUCUGAUGCCACACAGAAAUGGCAUGGACUUUAAACAUGGUAUGACAGCCUUCAUGUUAAUAAUGUAUAUUUUUCAUUCCCGGCAAAGUCAUCUAAUAGCCAAGUCUAAUAUACCAUAAUCUUGGAGAAAUGCUUCCACUUGCACAGAGGCUGUGAUAUGUUUCAUUAAAAUCAUGUGAAAUUCGUACAUGGUGAUUAGGGAGGGAAAAGUAGAACAUCACUCUAUUUAUAAUACCGUAUGAUUAGUCUGUAUGCCAAACACACAGAAAUAGUUCUAAAUGGUAAAGGUGAUUUGUUGCAGGCAGCUCUGAAAAUGUGCAUGAUUCAACAUCCAUCUUCAUGAAAUACUUGCGUUUUUAAAGCUGUGCCUGUGUGCGAUAGGUAGAGAAAGGUAGAGUCUGCAUUAAAUGACAGAAUAAGGAGUGAUAUGAAGUAACAUUGCAAGAGAUGCAAUCAGUUAGAAGAAAAUUAAGAUUUGAGAUGAGAAGGAGAGAGGAAGAGGAGGACGAGCAAAAAUAUAGCAAAGGAAGGGAGAAAAGGUGCAGGGAGAAAAAAAUCAAUUAGGAUUGGAUGGUUGCUACAGCGAAUGGAGAGAAUGUUUCCUUACUCUGUUCUUGAUUGCAUCGAAUAGUUUCAUUUUAUAUAGGCUGAGACAGAAUAUGUUUGUUGUGAAAUAUUCCUACAAAAAAUAGAAUACUGGCCCUGAAGAUUAAACGAUUUGUAUGAUGUAACAACACAGAUCCAAACUUUCAAUAGAAAAAAAAAAUAAUUAUUUUAUUUUUAUAUAGAGCCCUAGCAGAUUUCUGUUGCAUAAAUCUACAAAUUUACAGACACGUUGAUGUUUAAUAGACAUUACAUUAGGUUUAACAUAACAAACGUGAAGCUACUUACUGGAUAAGAAGGAUAGAGGGCCCUGUUACUUCAAGUUUACAGUCUAGCCAAACACAUUAAAGGGACACUUCGGAUUGCAAUGAAACCAUUUUUAAAUAUCACAUUGUAAAGAUAAUAUUAUAAAUAUAAGGAAAAAAAAAAACCUUUUCUAAGGUCCUCAAUUUUUUUUGACAUUCUUUAUUUUUGCAGUGCAAUGAAAAACAGACAAGUUUUUGUAAGCAAUACCACAUGAGUUGAUAUGACAAUAGAAGUUUCAAAAAUACAAUGUGUGGUAUGUCAAGAAUGUUGCUUUUUUUAUACAGAAACAAAAUGAAAGGGAAACAAGAUGGGCACUAUCUCUGCAGAUCAUUUUUUAGGUUCUAUCCUGUGAUGAGUACUGGCAUCAUUUACAUUGUAAAGUAGACAUGCAUUGCUAGAUUUGGUAACACAGUAUAGACAAAAUUUAUCAUAAUUUAUGAACCUUGUACUACACCACAGGGAUAAGAGUAGGGUAGUAAUAAAAUAAAAGGUUAUCUCAGCGAUUUAAUACCACUGGGUAGUGAAAUGAAAUACUGCAACAGCACAAGAGUAUGUCCUGCAUAGUACACCGGGAACAUGAGAACGAACACAGCUAAGCUGCAAUCAGGGACCAUGUGCUGCUCAUCCGAUGCCUAAAGAUGGUAAGUCCAUGCUGCCACUUCCAAUGUCCUCUCCAAGUAGAACUAACCUUCUUGUCCUUAACCAAUCGAUUGUAGGUCCUCAAAUUUGUGUAAACCACAAAACAUUUUUUGCUCAGUCUUGAGCAAUGCCCGUUCUAGGAAGUAGAAAGUAAGAUGGCCUACGAAGUCUGAAUUGUAUUUCACCCAGCACUGCAAGGAUUAAAGUGAAGCGAGAAUGGGCUGAUUAGCAGAAAUCAAAGCUUUAUGUACACAGCCUCUGGAUCUCAUGUUUCAGUAAUCAUUUUUCUACUUAUAUAAGCUGUUAGCUGAACUCCAUCUUUCAUUCAGCUUUGCUGUGUUUCCUAUUGGUAUAUACAUCUAUGUUUCUGGAUAAUGCAGCAGAGAAGUCGAAAGACAGGCAGGGAGCACUUUGCACAAGAACCAGUAUACUUGUGCAUUUGGAUUCGAAUUUGGGUCUAUUGACUCUUUGUCCAUAUUCCGUAUUAGUGAAAAACUAUACAGACCCGAACAAAGGACUAGCAUGAUGGCUGAACAUCCGGUAUUUGAAGAAACUGCCUGUGACAGCUAAAAAAAAGUGAUAAUCAAUGGGAAAAAAUAUGAUUGAUGGCUAGAAAAUAUUAAUUUUCUUCACAGAUCAUGUGAGAAGUGAUCUAUAUUUAUAUUUAUAUAAUUAUAAAUAUAGAUUUUUAUUUACUGCGUCUCCUCUUUUUCCCUCUAAGAGUUAUUUGUCUUACUUGAGCUGUGAACCAAAUGGCUGGAGAAUGUGCAGUGUAGGUCAAAAUAUAUACAUAUAUUUACAUUAUAUAUUUAAUGUAUAUUUAGCAGUACACUGAGUGACCUUUUGGUUUGUCCGAAUGCUUCUCUGAAUCUUUUUUUUUUCACGAAUGAAUUUUGGCUGAGCCGAACUGUCACAUGAAUGAGCACCAUUCAGAACAAAAUUUAAAUUUUGGUCAAAAUUAUUUGGCCGAACUAAACAAUCCUGCCAUGCUCAAGUCUAGGAACCAGCAAGAAAGGAGUAUUUUAGAAUGGGACAUGCAAAAGAGGAGGCACAGCUGUAAUGCAAAAUGCAGCAAACCUUUUUUUGGUCAAAACGAUUCAAAUUAAAUUAGCAAUAAAAUAGAGCUAAUUAUUAGACUAAAAGUUAUAUAAUACAUAAAUAUUUUGUUAGUGUAUUGAGUGUCCCUUUGACAGUUACCAUUAAUUUUACCAACAUAGUUAAUGAAUAAACAUAAAUGAAGCAAUGGUUAGAUCUGGUACUUGACCUCCAGCUAAAGGAACUUGCAAAUAUCUCUACUGCUCUAUUUUACAUGUUUAAAAAAAUAUAUUUUUUUUAAAUUUAUUUUUUAUAAUGCUGAUAUCUCCAAUAAUUUGCAACUCAUCUCAACAAGACAUAUUGUAACAGAUGAAUAGGCUUAGGGCAUCCGGUGGCUAGUGUAAAGCAUCGAUCACUAUAAGCUCUUUGGGAGCUAAAUGCUCUUGUAACCUGAAUGGUAGUUUAUUGAUGGAAUGGUAAAACCUUUGCUUUAAAGGAACUAUUAUCACAACAGUUCACUGUAGUGGUUAUGGUAGCAGGAGUGCCCAGGUGCACCCUCUUUUUUUAAGUAGUCAAACAAUUUCAGAAACCUCUAGUUAAAAAUUUAUGCUGACCCUUUUUUGCAUAACAAAACUUGUUUAUAAACCUUUAAGUGUACAAAAUAAGUACCUUCCACUUUUUUCCUAUAAUGCAUUAGGCCAGCAUGUUAAACCGAUAACCUUCUUCUCUGAGGUAUAGUUCUUCAUUCCAGUCCAGCAAUGCUUGUGUUUUACAUACAAGCUGUCACAUUUUUAUUGCAGGCUUGAUUUCCAUACAUUACUGAUAAGAGAGAUCUGAAUGAAAUGAAUGCUGACAUGUAACCUCCUCAUGCCUGAAUUAAAGAGCCAACUGUAUUCAUUUGUUUUUUGUUUGGCUUGUAUUGUCGUAGAUUCAAUUUCCCCAAAUUUGCUGAAGAAAUGGCACUCAUGUUAUUCUAUUGACACAUUCAGAAGCUCUUUUUCUGGACGCGUAUCCUCAUAUAAAAGAUAAAAACCAGCAACAAUACAAGAGAGCAACAGUCACAGGCACAAUCUAAUACAUGCCAACCAAGAAUGUCUUUUCAAAUCAUUUAGGCUCCAGAAAGCCACAUUUUCUUUUCAACAUCUGAAGGCUGAUGAAAAGACUAAAAUCUACUUGAAGUAACAAAAAGUCAACAAAGAUAAAGCAGGUUUAUAUUGAUGCUAUUUCUCAGCACAGAAAUGUAACACAAUACACAGCCUUAAAUUUAGCCUGAUUCAACUGAAACAAUUAAUUGGUGUGUUAAUAAAGCAAAUACACAAUAUUGGCAUGUACUAUGUCAGAAUGAAUUAGAACAAAUGUUACAAUGUACUAAAUGAAAAGAGUGCAGAUAUACAGUCAUGGGGGGGAAAAAGUACACCGUCUUUGAAUGCUAUGUUUUUACAUAUCAGGACAUAAUGACAAUCAUCUGUUCCUUAGCAGGCCUUAGAAUUAGGUAAAUACAACCUUAGAGGAACAACAGCACAGGACAUAUUACACCAUGAUCAUGAUUUAAUUAACAAAAAUAAAGUACUAAUGGUCAAGUCAUGUCUGAAAAACUAAGUACACCUUAUGAUUCACUAGCUUGUAGAACCACCUGUAACAGCAAUAACUUGAAGUAAUUGUUCUCCGUAUGACUUUAUUAGUCUCUCACAUAGCUGUGGAGGAAUUUUGGCCCACCUUUCUUUACAACGCUCCUUGAGGUUUGCCGUUAUUUGUUUAUGCACAGCUCUCUUGAAGGUCAUUUAAAUCAUAUUGAGGUCGGGACUUUGACUGGGCCAUUGCAGCACCUUGAUUCUUUUCUUUUUCAGUAAUUCUGUUGUAACUUUGCUAGUGUGCUUGGGAUCAUAGUCCUGUUGCAUGAUCCAAUUUCCGACAUGCUUUAGCUGUCGGACAGAUGGCCUCACAUUUGACUCUAGAAUACUUUGGUUUAUAGAGGAGUUCAUGAUCAACUCAAUGACUGCAAGGUUAAUAGGUCCUGUGGCUGUAAAACAAACCCAAAUCAUCAUCUCUCCACCCCCGUGCUUGACAGCUGUUAUGAGGUAUUUGUGCUGAUAUGCAGUGUUUGGUUUUUGACAAACGUGGCACUGUGCAUUUUGGCCAAACAUCUCCACUUUGGUCUUCUCUGUCCAAAGGAUCUUUGUUCAGAUGCAUCUUUGCAAACCUAAGCCAUGUUGCCAUGUCCACUUCUUUGAAGAUUGGCAGCUGUCUUGAAUGUUUUCUACUUUUGAAUAAUUUUUCUCAUUGUAGAUUGAAGGACUUUAAAUUGAUUGUAAAUGGCCUUAGAGGCCUUCCCAGUUUGAUGGGCAGCAACUAUUGCUUCUCUAAUAUCAUUGCUGAUGCCUUUUCUCCUUGGCAUUGUAUUAACACAUACAUGAAUGCUCCAGACCAGCAAACUACUAAAACGUUUGCUUUUAUAGAAGUGGUUCUGCAUCUGUCUGCUACUUAGCCACUAAAUUCAUAUGGAAAAAGUAAGAGUGUAAUUAGUUUCUCCCACAUUGCUUCUCCAUUUUGGACACUCAUGACCCAGUGUAAUAUUUAUGUGUUGAUGUGUUGUUGUUCAUUUGAGGAUCUAUUUACCUAACUUUAAAACUUGCUAAGGAACAGAUGAUUGUUAUGUCCUGAUAUGUAAAACCAUGCAAUUCAAAGAGGGUGUACUUUCUUUUUCCUAUGAGUGUAAAAUGUAAAUGAAAAGUUGCACACUAUGAUCUUCCUCCUAUUCCCUUCCUUCCUUCCUCUUCCUCUCUCUCUCUCUUCAUGUGCACAUGUGACAUCACACAUAAUACUCCCAUUAUGAGAUUAGCUUUGAGAGAUCUCAGCCUGUAUGUGGAAAUUAUAUUAUAAGUAAUAGGUGAUUUCUACUUUAUGCUUUAGGCCAGGGCUGUCCAACCUGCGGCCCCCCAGAUGUUGCUGAACUACAACUCCCAUGAUUCUUUCAAUGAAACAGAGAGCCAGGGAAUCAUGGGAGUUGUAGUUCAGCAACAUAUAUGGGGCCGCAGGUUGGACAGCCCUGGUUUAGGCAAGCAUUCUAAAAACAAUAAUUUGUUCAAUACGCCACAUCUCUCAGAUAAUCCUUAAUAAAGUGAAUUUGUUAUAUUUUAUUCUGGGGAUAAAAAUAUAGUUACGUUGUUUUUAUUUUGUUUUCAUAUAUUUUUGUUACUCACUGAUCAUUGUUUCAUUAAUUAUAUUGUAUUUCAGCAAACCUGUAAAUAAUCAUUCUUGCUUAGUUUUUAGUUGCCUAACUUUCUCAAGUAUAUAAUAAUUGAUGCAAUAGAUUUAUUCUAUUUUUAAAUUGUUUAUUGAUUUUCUUACGAUGGCAAUCUAUGUCUUCUUCGUUUAAUUUAUUUUCAUGUUUAGAGACUAAUUGUUUGAUCUUUGAUUCUUUGUUGUAUAUAGUGUCAUCUUAUUAUAAAUAAAUUUUGCAUUCUUUCUUCAGAAAUGGAAUGUGAUUAUUUGAGUUUAUUGUCCACAAGGCUACACCUGUUUAUCAAUACUUGUACACAUUUAGUAAAUAAUUCAGAUUUAUUUCUUGACAAUACAAAAGGUAAUUUAUUAACAGCAUUUAGAAACAGUGUAAAACAGAUAAAGAUGAAAGCACUAUGAAUUUUAACGACAAACCAAUAUGAAUAAUUUUAGUGUCAAUCUUUUUCUUUUAACUUUCUAAUUUUUUUGUCGAUUGACUGUGUUCCUGUGGAAACAGAAAGCCAAUGGUGGAACGCAUCUGUCAUAGUGCAGGAUCACAAGCAGCGCCCAAGAAAUUACUGACUCGAAAAUUGGAUGAGAUAUCGAUCGUGACUGGGUUAGAAGGGCGGUCCUCUUCAGACAGAUUUCCACUGGAGGAGAAGCAACCUAUUAGGAGCUCCGAAAUCAGCAGACACCCUUGGAUCCACCUAUCAAGAUAUGCAGUUAGCCCUAUUUAAAGGAACUAUGGGGGGAUUAUGUUAGAAUGCAAUUUUAUUGUCUUAUGCUAUAUUUAUUUACUUAUUGUCCCUGAGGAAGUCCUCAUUGUGUGGAAGAAAUACCUUUGUGUGGAAGAAAUAGUUUUUGUAUUUUAUGGGCUUAUUUUGCCUUAAAUAAAUCUUGAUUAACCUGAUCCUGACACUUGAGAUUCCUUUCUGGGACAACCAUCAGUUCUUGGCACCAAGGAAAGCAGAUGUAACUACAAUCUCAACUCCCUUAAAGGGAAAGAUUUAAGGCACUCAUAGUAUCGAUUUCUUGUGAGUGCAACCAAUAUCACACUUAUUACUUGUAUAUCACAGUACAUAGUGUUGUUAAUUUAUCUUGCAGAUACACAGCUGUAUCCCAUAUUUGUAUUUAUCUAUAUUGUGUUGUAAAGGGCUUGCUAUUUGGGAAGGCCCUUUGGGAAGCUGUACCUAUUUAAGGUCACAUACUCUUGUUUAUAUAUUUUUUCUCACCCAUCACACGUGGGUAUAUAGGUGGCGUGUCUAUAUAUAUAUAUAUAUAUAUAUAUAUAUAUAUAUAGAGUAUAUAGUGGCACCCUAUUAUUAAUUAAUUUUGCGUUCUUACUUCACAAAUUGAUUGUGAUUAUUUGAGUUUAGUGUACACAAGACUACACCUGUUUAUCAAUAUUUAAUAAAUAAUUCAGAUUUAUUUCUUGACAAUACAAAAAUAAAGAUUUAUCAACAGCAUUUACAAUACAAAAAAUUAUUUAUCGACAGCAUUUAGAAACCGUGUAAAAGCACACAAAAACAAGACAGUAACACAAGAGGAAGUUGUAAUGGUUGUUAUGCAAUUCCUCCUCCCCCCCCCCCAAAAAAAAGAUAAAGAUGAAAGCACUGUGGAUUUUAAUGACAAACCAAUAUGAAUAAUUUUAGCGUCAAUCUUUUUCUUUUAAUUUUCUAAUUUUUUGCCGAAUGACUGUGUUGAUUAUAUUUUAAUUAAGUAUCCUAUCAUAAUGAUGCAUACACAAAACACAUAUUAAUACACCCAUUGGGAAUAUACACCACCAUGCAUAAUAUUCACCUUGGUCUUUCCCAUGUUUUGUUGCAUUCAAAUGUGAAAUUAAAUUGGAUUUUUAUUAAAAUUUUUAACAUCUGUUUUUCCAACAUAUAUUACUUUUAGAAUAUGCAAGCCUUUUCUUAUUGUGACACAUUAAUAUUUUGAAUCAACAGCACACAAAUAUUUGUUUCAAAGGUUGAGCUUGAUGGACUUGAGUCUUUAUUUUAUUCAACCUAGAUUACUAGGUAACUAGGUCACUAAUUUAAUGAAGCAAAAAAAAAAAAAAUGCUGGUUGAUUAAGUAUUAAUCUCCAUUGUUUUGUUUGAAAUCACUAAAACAGUUUUGGUGCUAUCAGUUGCCUUCAGAAGUCACAUGAUUUGUUGAAUGUUGUCCAUCUGUGUGCAAUUAAAGUAUCACAUGGUCUCAGAAUAAAUACACCUGCAUCUAGAAGGCCUCAAAGUUUGUUGGAGAGUACAUCUAAACAAGUAGUAUCACAAAGACUAAAAAGCUGUCAAGGUUGGGAUUGCGUUCUGGAGAUUUCCAAUCUUUGAACAUUACCUUGAGUACUACCUGUAUUAUGUUCAUGAGUAUAAUUAAUGGAAAUAAAAAACUCUAGGAAAGGUUGUCCACCAAACGUAGUUAGUUUUAUAUCUUUUUAUACAGUUAUCAGCCUCAAAAGUAUCCUCUGCUGUAGAUAGUCAGAAAGUAACAGAUCUAAAUAAUAAAAAAUAAUGUAUUAAAAUAGUACCAUUUUGAUACAUUAUUUCUUUAUCACUGAGAUUUCUUACUUUCUGACUAUGCACAGCACAGGAUCCUCUUUUGAGAUUGAUAACUGUUUAAAAAGAUUAAUAAAAUAUGCAAAUCAUGACACAGCAAACUAUACAUUUGACAUUCUAUAUUGUAAAUAGGAACCUAAGGAUUUGUUGUUGAAAAAAAUCAGUUUCUGUUUGGAGUUUGACAGUAUUCUUGCAGGAAAAACAAACUUGUGGGAAAAAAAAGACAUUCUCGAAUCUGACGAGGUUUAAAAUAAAACUUUUUGUCCUAAAAUUUAAGGUUCAAAAUGGUUUUAUUUCUGGUGUUUAGGAAUGCAUGUCUUUUCUGGAUUUUUCAAAACACCCCACAAGAACUGCCAUUUUGGAGAUGCUAUGACCCAACUGUCUAACCAUCACUAUUUGGCCUUUGUCAAAGACACUCAGAUCUUUUCACUUGUCAAUUUUCCUUGCUUCCAACUCAUGAAAUUCAAGAACUGACCAUUCACGUUCAAGAACUGACCAUUCACCAUUCACGAUUCCUUCAUAGGUGCCAUUGUAACAUUACAAUCAAUGUUAUUAACUUCACCUGUCAGUGGUUUUAAUGUUGUCAUUGAUCACUCUUUGGAAAUGAAUUGAAACUAAUUUGCACGUGUAAGGCAUGCUAUGUAAAAUAAAUGGUGACAAAUCCAGUAAUAUCUGUUUUAAUUUCAGGUUGUGGCACUACAAAAUUUGGAUAUAUUAAAGGGGAGGGGGUGUAAAUUCUUAUGCUAGGCACCAUGCCACAGUGUUAGAGAGACUGAAGCAGCAAGUGUAUCUGCAUAGUGCGCAAAGUCAGCUUUACAUUGACUAAUUUCAUUGUCAGCCAGUCCACACCAGUUUUCUUCCCCUACAUCCCUCUUAAGUUUUCAUACUUAAGCAAGAGCAUGUGAAGAGUAGUAAAAAAAAAAAAAAAAAUGACUUAUGCCUGGAGCUGCAGCUCCAUCAGCCCCUAUGUUAAUCCGGCCCUGCUAGGCACUGAAUAUAGCAAAAAUGCCUCAUUCCAAACUGCAUGUUACAGUAAAAAUAAAAUAUUCUGAACAUAACAUGGAUGGUUGACCUUAGUGCAUUUUUUUGUAUAAGGUUAUGGUAUUUCUUCUUAAACCACAACAGUAAUGUCUUGAUAAAAAUUACAUCUUCCCCAUUUCUCUCAAACAGGAUAUCGGCAAUGAAAAGAGAAUCUCCAUUUCAAGCAUGAGGUACUCUUAUUUGGGCACAUCCUCUCACUGGAAAUGAGAUGGAUCCCCUGCUGGGAUUAAUAUUCAAUUGCAGAGUCAAUCCUUUUCAUCAACAAAACUCAUCAGUUGGAUCAUUGCCUCAAGAUAAGCCAAUGAGUGCUGAGGCUCAGGGUGGGGGUGGACAGACUUAAUCAUGGUCUGCAAUAAGAAGUGCGCUCACACUCAUAUAACUGCUUGAGAAACGGUGUAUGACAACUUACUACAAAGAUAGCUGCAUAAUAAAUCUUCACAAACUCUAUAUUUGGCUCUUUGUAGUCAGCGAGUUAAAAAAAAGAGGGAUGAACAUAUAAAAUCACUUAAACUAACCACAGAAAAAGAGGAUUCAUUUUUUUUUUCUGAUACAAAAUAAUAAUACGCAGAUUUGUUAUUUUCAUUGGGAUUUGUUCACUAAACAGUAGGACAAAGCCGAACUGCAAAAUUUAGG
Molecule: non-coding RNA, 32982 nt
Organism: Pelobates cultripes (western spadefoot toad)
Lineage: Eukaryota; Metazoa; Chordata; Amphibia; Anura; Pelobatidae
Source: the annotation of a GenBank genome assembly